GGCUGGGUAGCUCAAUGGUGGAGCAGGGCCUUCAUAAGACCACGGUUGAGAGUUCGAAUCUCUCCUCAGCCACCA
This 75-nucleotide transfer RNA is filed under the name Candidatus Amesiibacteriota bacterium. RNAcentral's name for it is "Candidatus Amesbacteria bacterium tRNA-Met". It matches the Rfam family "tRNA". From Rfam's summary of the family: Transfer RNA (tRNA) molecules are approximately 80 nucleotides in length. Their secondary structure includes four short double-helical elements and three loops (D, anti-codon, and T loops). Lineage: Bacteria; Candidatus Amesiibacteriota. The record is from RNAcentral.